Molecule: long non-coding RNA, 423 nt
Organism: Octopus sinensis (East Asian common octopus)
Lineage: Eukaryota; Metazoa; Mollusca; Cephalopoda; Octopoda; Octopodidae
Exons: 3
Source: RefSeq, a predicted model, not a curated record
UCCAACUGUAAAACCGCCCCAAAUAACAUUCACCUGACUCAUGCAAACAUGGAAAAGCUGAAAAAAGAUCUUAUAAAAACAUUAAUUGUACAAAAACCGAUCUAAGUUUAUAAUCAAAGCAAAACAAGAAUUUAGGAUUUCAGAGUCGCAGACAAGUGCCGGAGUGGCUGUGUGUUUCUGCUCCCUUCAAAUAAAUUUUUACGGAAUAAGCGAGAGAAACACAGAAAAGACGUAAUCUCACCAGAAACAAGUAUAAAGCAAGGAUGAUUGUAGAAAACCGAAGGCGCGAGUCUGAGGACAGAAGCGAGAUGAGAUUUUCUCAAGAUCAGCAAAUGCAUGUUGCAGUACUUAAUGCUGGAUCAAUUAAAUCAAUGUUUUAAUGAUUAGACAGCGGUCCAAUAGAAUAGCUCUCAGAAACAGACU